This is a transfer RNA of Pestalotiopsis fici W106-1, 93 nucleotides long. It matches the Rfam family "tRNA". Rfam says of the family: Transfer RNA (tRNA) molecules are approximately 80 nucleotides in length. Their secondary structure includes four short double-helical elements and three loops (D, anti-codon, and T loops). Further hydrogen bonds mediate the characteristic L-shaped molecular structure. tRNAs have two regions of fundamental functional importance: the anti-codon, which is responsible for specific mRNA codon recognition, and the 3' end, to which the tRNAs corresponding amino acid is attached (by aminoacyl-tRNA synthetases). tRNAs cope with the degeneracy of the genetic code in two manners: having more than one tRNA (with a specific anti-codon) for a particular amino acid; and 'wobble' base-pairing, i.e. permitting non-standard base-pairing at the 3rd anti-codon position. The record is from Rfam. Lineage: Eukaryota; Fungi; Ascomycota; Sordariomycetes; Amphisphaeriales; Sporocadaceae.
GCCCGCUUGGCAUAGUGGUAUUGCGUCGCACUUGUAACCCCAGUUGGUAUAUGCGACAUGCGAAAGUCGGCGGUUCAAUUCCGCCAGUGGGCA